AGUGAACGCUGGCGGUAGGCCUAACACUUGCAAGUCGAACGGCAGCACAGUAAGAGCUUGCUCUUACGGGUGGCGAGUGGCGGACGGGUGAGGAAUACAUCGGAAUCUACUUUUUCGUGGGGGAUAACGUAGGGAAACUUACGCUAAUACCGCAUACGACCUACGGGUGAAAGCAGGGGAUCUUCGGACCUUGCGCGAUUGAAUGAGCCGAUGUCGGAUUAGCUAGUUGGCGGGGUAAAGGCCCACCAAGGCGACGAUCCGUAGCUGGUCUGGGAGGAUGAUCAGCCACACUGGAACUGAGACACGGUCCAGACUCCUACGGGAGGCAGCAGUGGGGAAUAUUGGACAAUGGGCGCAAGCCUGAUCCAGCCAUACCGCGUGGGUGAAGAAGGCCUUCGGGUUGUAAAGCCCUUUUGUUGGGAAAGAAAAGCAGCAGGUUAAUACCCCGCUGUUCUGACGGUACCCAAAGAAUAAGCACCGGCUAACUUCGUG
RNAcentral lists this ribosomal RNA (492 nucleotides) under uncultured bacterium. Its description in RNAcentral is "partial 16S ribosomal RNA". It matches the Rfam family "Bacterial small subunit ribosomal RNA", at positions 29 to 507 of the family's 1533-position model. The record is from RNAcentral.